UGUAGGGUCUGGAGGCAGUCUGUUGGGCCGGUGUGUAUUUGUGCUGGCUCCGCCAGUCUUCCCCUCCACAGUUUUCUAUAGCGCUGGUUGUGUUUAUUCCAGGCUUCUUUCCAAUACGGUCCUAUAGGCGGAAUACACAUUUUCCAUAAGUCUCUCCCCUCCAAUAAACUUAGGCCAGGCAUAUAGGCGAUAGUGUCGGAGCUAUAGGUCCCCUAUCUCUGCAGUAAAUUCUUCAAAUUUAUCUAAAUUAAUUUUUUGACGACAUUUAUAUGUUGCAGAAUAAUCCAACUCUUAAUCCAGUCCACCUUGGCUCCGGUAUCUUCGCCGCUGUAUCCGGUACUUUUAGCUUUUUAACCUUACUACCAUCAGCGCCCAAAGCCGGUCGGAUCCCGAGUGGGAUCGGAUGGUCACCCGUGGUACUCGGGAUAGCCUUAAAUACAUUCUCGGGGGAAAAAGAAAUGUUUUCCUCGUUAAGCCCAGACCAAUGGUAACCGAGAAAGCGCUCUGGGUCUUCCUAUUUUUCCCAUUGGCUAUUGACUUUUGGGCAAAUUUUUCGUUUUACUUCUUAAGCGUUUUACAAAAAUAUCGGAAUUUCCCACUUCUGGCCAAACCUCCGACUUCCUCUCUAGGACUUUCC
Molecule: long non-coding RNA, 637 nt
Filed under: Androctonus crassicauda
Lineage: Eukaryota; Metazoa; Arthropoda; Arachnida; Scorpiones; Buthidae
Source: RNAcentral